RNAcentral lists this transfer RNA (70 nucleotides) under Collybiopsis luxurians FD-317 M1. Its description in RNAcentral is "tRNA-Sup (CTA) (tRNA-Sup-CTA-1-1)". It matches the Rfam family "tRNA". Rfam says of the family: Transfer RNA (tRNA) molecules are approximately 80 nucleotides in length. Their secondary structure includes four short double-helical elements and three loops (D, anti-codon, and T loops). Lineage: Eukaryota; Fungi; Basidiomycota; Agaricomycetes; Agaricales; Omphalotaceae. The record is from RNAcentral.
GGUUCCAUAGCUUAGUGGUUAAAACACUCUGCCUAGAAGAGAGACUUGGGUUCAAUUCCCAAUGGAACCA